CCGUAUAGAAGUAAACGAAUGGAGCCGGCGGUAAACCCAAGGGAUUCAACCUGGAGUUCUGCACUUCGGUGUAGACGAAGGGUGCAUUUCCCAUGGGUUGGCGCCUAAACCGACAGACCUUUUCUGGUACAUGGCGGAUUGGUUGUGGCCUGUUGCUUCGGUGACAGAGACCCGCCUUUUCGACCCUACCGGGUAAGCGUUAGUCGAGAAUUUACCGUGCCUGCCUCAAGGUUCGUUUCUGGUCUGCACGAUGGGCGGUUGGACCUCGGUAUCUUGCUUUUGCAGGGUUCCGAGACUCUCGCACCAGUGUUGCUGCCGGUACGAUUUUGGUGCUCAUGGUUUCUGGCGUUUUAGUCGGCCACCCAUUCGACCCGUCUUGAAACACGGACCAAGGAGUCGUACAUGUGCGCAAGUCAUUGGGUGACAAAACUCAAAGGCGUAAUGAAAGUAAAGGCUGGCUUUAGUCGGCUGAAGUGGGAUCCCCUUCUAACGUUGGGGCGCACCACUGGCCCGUGCUAACUCCUUUGCGGGUGGCGCGGCGCUAUAGCGUACGUGUUCGGACCCGAAAGAUGGUGAACUAUGCUUGAGUAGGGUGAAGCCAGAGGAAACUCUGGUGGAAGCCCGAAACGGUUCUGACGUGCAAAUC
This 646-nucleotide ribosomal RNA is filed under the name Acantholaimus sp. K92. RNAcentral's name for it is "eukaryotic LSU rRNA". It matches the Rfam family "Eukaryotic large subunit ribosomal RNA", at positions 405 to 899 of the family's 3401-position model. Lineage: Eukaryota; Metazoa; Nematoda; Chromadorea; Chromadorida; Chromadoridae. The record is from RNAcentral.